RNAcentral lists this transfer RNA (74 nucleotides) under Xestospongia muta (giant barrel sponge). RNAcentral's name for it is "tRNA-Ile". It matches the Rfam family "tRNA". Rfam says of the family: Transfer RNA (tRNA) molecules are approximately 80 nucleotides in length. Their secondary structure includes four short double-helical elements and three loops (D, anti-codon, and T loops). Further hydrogen bonds mediate the characteristic L-shaped molecular structure. tRNAs have two regions of fundamental functional importance: the anti-codon, which is responsible for specific mRNA codon recognition, and the 3' end, to which the tRNAs corresponding amino acid is attached (by aminoacyl-tRNA synthetases). tRNAs cope with the degeneracy of the genetic code in two manners: having more than one tRNA (with a specific anti-codon) for a particular amino acid; and 'wobble' base-pairing, i.e. permitting non-standard base-pairing at the 3rd anti-codon position. The record is from RNAcentral. Lineage: Eukaryota; Metazoa; Porifera; Demospongiae; Haplosclerida; Petrosiidae.
CGGUAUAUAGCUUAAUCUGGCGGAGCGCAGUCUUGAUAAGACUGAGGAUAUUGGUUCAAUUCCAAUUUUACCGA